CUGAAGUUGGGAAGAAGGAAUAACAGUAACACAGAUGAAGACGACUCACCAGCUAGGGCAGGGCCAACCACUGUGCGGUCCUUGGGCUCAUCACACACCCACUCCUCACAGCAUUUCCCGGGCAGCUUGACCCUUCUCGGGAAGGGGCAGUCAGGGCUGGGCAGGCGCACGUCCAUGCUGCACAGGGGCACACAGCCCACGGCCCCAUCCAGGCAAGUGCACUGGUAUUUGCAACUGCUUUGGAAGGACUCGCCGCUGCGGUACACGGACCCACCGAAGACACAGGGUGCACCAUCUUUGGCUGCAGGAAAGGAAGACAAAGAUGUAGAGGUCAGACAGGGGUCCCAGGGAUCAGAAUAGCUGUAUCACUGUACAUGUCAAGGUGGUGAGCUAGGGUCAGGACUGCAGGGGGCCGGUUGGAAGCUGCUGCAGACAAGGGCUUUUUUUUUUUUCCUAGAGGGCUGGAAUAGAGGCUGCGGGUCUUACCAGUGCACACGCCAAUCUUGCGGUUGGCGGGGGAGCCGAAGUCGCAGAAGAGACCCUUGUGUGGGUCGCAGGGAUCACGCUCCGUGCACAGUUCUCCCAGCUGCUUGGCGCAGACGCGGCAGCAGCCGCAGCCGUCCAGCACCAGGCUCACGCCGGCGGGGCAGCGCGGCGCCGCUUCAGCUGCGCACUGACACUGCGCGCUGCAGUCCUGGCCGGUGGCAGGCUGCGGAGAGGAAGGGGAGGGCGGUCAGUCUGAGAUCGCAGCUCACUUUGCCCUCCCUCCGUCCUGUCCGUCAGUCCUGGAGCUUACCCGGGUGCAGAGGAGGAGCACCAAGGCGAGGCUAACGGGACCCGCGACGGAGGCGAGCAUGGUCGGGGCGCGGCAGGAGGACGCACAGCGGGGUGCAGAGGCGACGAGGGGCGCGGCCGGAGCCUG
RNAcentral lists this long non-coding RNA (922 nucleotides) under Rattus norvegicus (Norway rat). Its description in RNAcentral is "long non-coding RNA NONRATT000090". The record is from RNAcentral. Lineage: Eukaryota; Metazoa; Chordata; Mammalia; Rodentia; Muridae.